GCUUCCAUAGCUCAGUGGACAAGAGCGCUGGUCUCCGAAACCAAGAGGUCGCGAGUUCGAUCCUCGCUGGAGUCG
RNAcentral lists this transfer RNA (75 nucleotides) under Astyanax mexicanus (Mexican tetra). It matches the Rfam family "tRNA". Rfam says of the family: Transfer RNA (tRNA) molecules are approximately 80 nucleotides in length. Lineage: Eukaryota; Metazoa; Chordata; Actinopteri; Characiformes; Acestrorhamphidae. The record is from Rfam by way of RNAcentral.